RNAcentral lists this ribosomal RNA (448 nucleotides) under uncultured Planctomycetota bacterium. RNAcentral describes it as "bacterial SSU rRNA". It matches the Rfam family "Bacterial small subunit ribosomal RNA", at positions 217 to 656 of the family's 1533-position model. The record is from RNAcentral. Lineage: Bacteria; Pseudomonadati; Planctomycetota.
GCUUAGAGAGGGGUCAAUGUCCUAUCAGCUAGUUGGUAGGGUAAUGGCCUACCAAGGCUAAGACGGGUAGCCGGCCUGAGAGGGUGGUCGGCCACACUGGGACUGAGACACUGCCCAGACUCCUACGGGAGGCUGCAGUCGAGAAUCUUUCGCAAUGCCCGAAAGGGUGACGAAGCGACGCCGCGUGUGGGAAGAAGGCCUUCGGGUUGUAAACCACUGUCGGGAGUUAAGAAAUGUAAGGGUAUUAAUAGUAUCCUUACUUGACUAAGGCUCCGGAGGAAGCCACGGCUAACUCUGUGCCAGCAGCCGCGGUAAUACAGAGGCGGCAAGCGUUGUUCGGAAUUAUUGGGCGUAAAGAGCACGUAGGCGGCUUUGUAAGUCAGUUGUGAAAGCCUUCUGCUCAACGGAAGAACAGCAUCUGAUACUGCAAGGCUAGAGUGCGGAAGGG